Long non-coding RNA from Artibeus jamaicensis (Jamaican fruit-eating bat), 672 nucleotides. RefSeq lists it as uncharacterized. NCBI's taxonomy places the organism in Eukaryota, Metazoa, Chordata, Mammalia, Chiroptera, Phyllostomidae. The transcript is spliced from 3 exons. The record is from RefSeq and is a predicted model, not a curated record.
GGUGCCAAAUUCGGCCUGCAGUUUGGGUGAUCCUGUUCUGGGGAAAGAAGGGCUGCCGUGGAUCGUGGAGGCAGCAAGCCUUGUAGAUCUUCAAAGACAGGUCAAAGCCUCUGGUUCCACUCUGGCGGAAUGAAACACCCCAGCCUGGCUGAAUUCAGGAUGGACACAUUGGUGGAACUUUUGGCCGUGUGCUGAAGAUGGAAAGCCUGCUGAAGGCCAAGACGAAGUUUUCUCAGUACUGGGCUGAGGAUAAAGGCCCUUCCCAAGGAUGCUGAUCUAUUACAAAUACCAAGAUAGAAAACUUAUAUUAACUGAUUCUCCCCAGAGGAAGAAUGAAGGACACCCAGCACUCACUUUGAUCUGUCUCAUGGGAAAGCCAAAGAAAGUGUGUCUGGGAAAGACCUUGGUGGGCAUUCAACAGAUACCUGCUACAUGUUCUUUCUAAGGGGACUGCAAGUUUGAAUAGGGCCAAACUAGUCAGGAAGCCAGGAGGGAAAUUGCCUCCACCUUCAGCAAGCAGAGCAGACAUGGCCUCUACAUACGUGUCCAAAUGUGUUUGAGGGACACCACGCCAUGAGCCUGACUGGGCUCUCACAGGUCUCCGUCUGCCCUGGUAGCUGUACUACAAACACAGCAUGUUCUUGGUUCAUCUUUUUAAAAAUAAAGGAAUGA